Bactrocera neohumeralis is the source of this 3848-nucleotide RNA transcript. It is a transcript of the gene named ATP-dependent RNA helicase p62, with no coding region annotated. NCBI's taxonomy places the organism in Eukaryota, Metazoa, Arthropoda, Insecta, Diptera, Tephritidae. The transcript has 5 exons. The record is from RefSeq and is a predicted model, not a curated record.
CGGGUGUUGCUGCUUUGUAACCAAUAAAUGUGCUUGUGAAAAAAAAUUUAGUGCAGUUAAAAUGUUUAAAAUAUUGGUUCAAAGUUUGGCGAAAAACUCGUGUGAAAGCCGAGCACCGUCACAAAUUGCCGCCGUGACGUGUGUAAAAAAUUCAUUGAUUUUACCAGCGGCCAAGAAUCAUACAAUUGCCACGAGUACUAUAGCAAGUCGCCAUUUUCUUUUUCUAACCAACAGAAAACCAGUGAGCUUUGCUUUUCAUCAUCAAGAUCUAACGGCAGGCAGCAGAAAGGACGUAUUCGCGGAGUAUAAGCAGAUUAAGAAAACAUUCUUAACAAAUUCAAGUGGAAUAACUAACUCCGGUGGCUUCUACAGGUAUUUUCACAAGUCGAGCGAAAAUUUAGUAGAAGGGGAAGCGUCGCCUGCAGAAAAGCAAAAGUUUUCGUUAAAAUCCAGCAACAAACACUCGUUUACAAAUUCAUCUUUGUAUAUAGAUCCAGACGAAAUGGCACCUCAUGAUAGGAACUUUGGCGGUCGUGGUGCACGUGGUGGAGAUGAUCGUCAUGCCAGACAGGGAGGUGGUGGCAUGCGCAAUGGAGGCGCUGGCGGUGGUGGAGGUGAUUUCCACGGUGUGCGGAACGGUCGUGUUGACAAGAAUCGUGGAGGUGGUGGUGGCGGACGUGGAGGUAGCGGAGGCUAUGGUGGCGGAAGUGGUUUCGGUGGUGGAUAUGGAGGAGGCAAUCGUGGGGGUACCCAAGAUCUUACCCUCGGAAAUGUCGACUUCUCAAAUCUCACACCAUUCAAGAAGAAUUUUUAUGAGGAACACCCCAUUGUUGCGAACCGUUCCCCAUAUGAAGUACAACGUUAUAGGGACGAACAUGAAAUUACUAUCCGUGGAAAUGCCCCUAACCCAAUUCAAGACUUCAGCGAAGCUUAUUUUCCUGACUAUGUAAUGAAGGAAGUACGUCGUCAGGGUUAUAAGGCGCCAACAGCUAUACAGGCACAAGGUUGGCCAAUUGCUAUGAGUGGUUCCAAUUUUGUCGGUAUUGCACAAACUGGAUCCGGCAAAACCCUAGGGUACAUCUUACCAGCGAUCGUACAUAUUAACAACCAGAAACCAUUAGAGCGGGGAGAUGGACCCAUAGCUUUGGUCUUGGCGCCUACACGAGAAUUGGCUCAACAGAUUCAACAAGUUGCCACUGAAUUUGGCUCUGCAUCGUACGUUCGAAACACAUGCGUUUUUGGUGGGGCUCCAAAAGGAGGUCAAAUGCGCGACUUGCAGCGUGGCUGUGAAAUCGUCAUUGCCACCCCAGGUCGUUUAAUUGAUUUUCUUGCAAUGAAUGCCACCAACUUGAAGCGUUGUACAUAUUUGGUAUUGGAUGAGGCUGAUCGUAUGUUAGAUAUGGGUUUUGAGCCCCAAAUACGCAAGAUUCUGUCACAGAUUCGCCCUGAUCGCCAGACACUUAUGUGGUCUGCCACUUGGCCUAAAGAAGUUAAGCAGUUGGCUGAAGAUUUUCUCGGCAACUACAUUCAAAUAAACAUUGGUUCUCUGGAAUUAUCGGCAAAUCACAAUAUCCGCCAAGUCGUUGACGUUUGUGAAGAACAUGACAAGGAAGACAAAUUAAAGUCUUUGCUUUCGGAAAUUUAUGAUACCAGCGAAAACCCAGGCAAGAUCAUAAUCUUUGUGGAGACCAAACGUCGCGUAGACAACUUAGUUCGCUUCAUUCGUAGCUUCGGUGUGCGCUGCGGCGCCAUUCACGGUGACAAGUCACAGUCGGAACGUGAUUACGUCUUACGUGAAUUCCGAUCUGGAAAGUCGAACAUUCUGGUAGCAACUGAUGUCGCUGCGCGUGGUUUGGAGGCCGAUUAUUGUAGUAUGGUGGGGAUAAAAUGAUCAUCUUUUGAAAUGACGCAAUUCACUAGGAUUGCGUUGAUAAGUGAACUCUUGAAUUUUUUCGCAAAAGUAUCCGCCGAAAAGCUCUUUGAACGGAGCAUUUCCAAAAAAGCUGAAUGAAAUGUGCGACUGUGGCGGCAGCACUUUGUCUACACAUUCCGAUGCAAAAGAGGGAUGUCGUCGAACCACCUGCUGCCACACGUUUGCACGCAUCGUCAUUGCACAUUUGAGGAGAGAUAUAAUACGCAACAGCAGAUGGACACGCUUAUAUAACACGUACAACCUGUGCGAAAAAGCGUUUCAGUGCAACUUAGCGUAUACACAAAUACUCCAGACUACAAAAAAAUAAAAGGCGGAAACAUUCGUCACUAAUACGCGAAAUGUAUGUCGCGUCGUCGUGUAAUUUUUUAUUCAUUUUGUGUUUUGUAUAAAAAUUGCCUUACAAGAAAAAAUAAAACAUGGGUUUCCUCCUAAUUCGGCAAUGUGCAUAAAGAGUUCUGCGGUACACAAUAUCCCUAUCAUCAUGCAUCAAAUGUGGCCUCUGCUAUCUUUUAUUCAAAGUGAUAGUAUUUUUCGAAACUAAACAGUACCAAUUUCGAAAAUGGAAAAUAAAUAUAGGAAUUUUCACAGUAUUAAACAAACGCCAAUCGAAAGGGCAGAUUAUGUAAAUUCAAUAAAUUGUUUCGUUAGUACUUUAUGUGAAUUUCCUUGGCUGAUACGUUAUAAGGAAUCGCGUUAAAUCACACGCAGGCAAUUAAGAGAAACUUCAUACAACUAAAUGCAUGUCCAUCCUACAAUCGCUAUAAUUAUCGCAUGUGUUCUUUGGCUGAAUCGUAUCGAAUUUGUAAAAAUUAAUUCCAUUCGCAAGGAACAGGGUCAUUGCGCGUAAUUAAAGGGAAAAGAAAAUAAAAACAUUUACGAUUAAAUUUUAUAAUUAUAUUUAAAGUGAUCCGAUAUCAUUUUUGCUGUCAAUCUUUGAUCCUGUUCAACGCGUAUUCGCGGUAAAAAGAUCGGUUGUUGUAACGUGGCACGGCAUCGAAAAUGUUUUGCCUUACUCAUUCGAUAAAAGGAAAGGUUGUAUCAAACGAGCUGGUGGCGACCUUCUUUUGGACAAUAAACAAAUGUUGAGAAGCUGUUGCUGUUGUUCUAACCCAACCAUGGACAUCACAGAACACCAGUUCAUCAUUUGCUGCACGUCCAGAAAAAAGCGUCGUCGUCGUCUACGGAUUCUUGAACAACACAUUCACAUUCCAUGAAAUCCCGAAAGUUCGUGAAAGGCAAAACGUAGUUUAGAAAGUGCCACAAACACUUCGCAAUACCGCCGACAAAGGACACAUUUGCAACGUGGAUUUGUUUGUAUAAAAUUUGGAGGAUAUGCAUAUAAUAAUAUAAUGGUGAAGUGUGAAAGUAAACACAGUUAUUUGGAGAAAACGACGGACAUUUACUGGCCGUCAUAGUUAAAUGAAGAAAACUACUCUUUGUCAACAUGCCUGCGGUAGUGGUUUUACCUGAACAUUGGGUGAUGGAUGCACGACGUCGGCGAGCGGCGCACAAACUCUACCACCAAAUAGUUGGAUGUGCGCUGAACUCCACUCGAGACGCAUUUAACUCGAAACUCGUGCGGAAUCGAGCUGCAUCGUUCGUCCAUCCUGUGUCCAUUUAAUGUUGAUUGAGAGAAAAAGGGAGACAGAUUAGAGGGAAAAUGCCCUAACUAUAUUUAAAGUUUUACCACAUGCUCUUCCACUCGUUUCGCUGAACGGGACGAGAGAAGAGUGUGAAUAUAAAUCGACUAUUUGAAGAUGUGGACGGUAUCAAAUAUGUGAUUAACUUCGAUUACCCGCAAUCGUCAGAGGAUUAUAUUCAUAGAAUCGGACGUACAGGACGUUCCAACACAAAAGGCACUUCAUAUGCAUUCUUCACCAAAAAUAAUGCCAAACAGUCGAGAGCGCUGGUUGAU